This 632-nucleotide long non-coding RNA is filed under the name Junco hyemalis (dark-eyed junco). Its description in RNAcentral is "lncRNA (ENSJHYG00000007199.1)". The record is from RNAcentral. Lineage: Eukaryota; Metazoa; Chordata; Aves; Passeriformes; Passerellidae.
ACAGCUGCUCACACAAAAUCCCUUUUCUCCUCUGAUGGGUCUCUUGCUGUGAAUAUCCAUGCUCAUGUCAGCUGUGUGCAGGGAGGAAUUAUGAGUUUCCCUUUUCCUAUCACUUACCUAGCUCCUUUGUUUUACCAACAUAGAUUGUGCUUACAUUCUAGUACAGACUGGAGAUACCAAUGUUAGCUUAAAAGGAAUUAGCUCAGCCAUUUCUUUACUUUGCUAAAAUCUGUCCUGUAAACAUGCCAGGCUGCAGGCUCUUGAGAGUGGGACUGUUAACAGCUUUGUUUUUACAUUGUUUAGUACAACAGGGCCAAAGAAUAGAUGCUUUGGGUGCCCCUGGAGUUCCAAUAAUUUUCACAGUGACCCAGAGGGAGAAGAAAGGUCAGACUCAGGGGAACACUCGGCAUCGUUUCUGGAGCAUUUUCAGGGGUGGCUGCUAAUGGUAAUGAUGAUGCUGAGCUCUCUCAUAAUUUUAUACUUUCAAAGGUACUUCAAGCCAAUUUAGAAUCAAGAUUUGACCUGCAGAGCUUCAAUUCUUGUGAGCUGAUAAGACAAACCUCCCAGGCUGAGUGGAUUUUAUGGCCUCCUCAGUGCGUGGGUUUGAUGGAGAGAGGGUGAUGCAGACUCAC